Molecule: transfer RNA, 64 nt
Filed under: Aeluropoda insignis
Lineage: Eukaryota; Metazoa; Arthropoda; Insecta; Blattodea; Blaberidae
Also listed under: 2 other names
Description: tRNA-Pro
Source: RNAcentral
CAGUGAAUAGUUUAUAAAAAUAUUAAUUUUGGAGAUUAAUGAUAAAGUGAUACUUUUUCUCUGA